RNAcentral lists this long non-coding RNA (537 nucleotides) under Olea europaea subsp. europaea. Lineage: Eukaryota; Viridiplantae; Streptophyta; Magnoliopsida; Lamiales; Oleaceae. The record is from RNAcentral.
AUUGCAGCAUAAUUACGUUCGGCCACAACAGUGUACGAAAUUCAAAGACAUUCACAAUAUUUGUACUCGUUGCACCUUAAUUUAUUUGAGACCAAAGUUGAAAUAAAAGAAUUAGCAAAUAAAAUGAACUACAUUCACAUUCAUAUAUGCUUAUAUAUAUACAUAUAAACACGCAUAAAUAUAAGGACCUCAUCGUGGCCAGAAAGGUUGAUUUUCUCCUUGGUGAAAACGGAGGUGUCGAAAUCGAGAGAAGCAGGUCGCUUAAUGGUGGGAGUCGAGACCAUGCGAGCCGAGAGAACCGAACCUGCAGGUGAAGCCCCGGCUCGAGAAGCUGAAGCGCGAAGCCGAUUAAGCGACUGGGUAGAUGAUGAAAGGAAGCCCAAGCUGAGAGCAGGAACUUUGUUUGAUGGCUUGAAGAAUUUGGAUAAGGCGGAAGAGGUGGUGGUGGAGGAUGAGAAAGUGGUAGGCGCCGCCACCGCCAUCAGGGUUUUACAGCUUUUGAGUUGCUUAAAGGGACUAGAAAAUCAUUAAGGUUGG